CGCGCAGGUGGUUCCUUAAGUCUGAUGUGAAAGCCCACGGCUCAACCGUGGAGGGUCAUUGGAAACUGGGGAACUUGAGUGCAGAAGAGGAAAGUGGAAUUCCAAGUGUAGCGGUGAAAUGCGUAGAGAUUUGGAGGAACACCAGUGGCGAAGGCGACUUUCUGGUCUGUAACUGACACUGAGGCGCGAAAGCGUGGGGAGCAAACAGGAUUAGAUACCCUGGUAGUCCACGCCGUAAACGAUGAGUGCUAAGUGUUAGAGGGUUUCCGCCCUUUAGUGCUGCAGCUAACGCAUUAAGCACUCCGCCUGGGGAGUACGGCCGCAAGGCUGAA
This 332-nucleotide ribosomal RNA is filed under the name uncultured Bacillus sp. Its description in RNAcentral is "bacterial SSU rRNA". It matches the Rfam family "Bacterial small subunit ribosomal RNA", at positions 568 to 898 of the family's 1533-position model. The record is from RNAcentral. Lineage: Bacteria; Bacillati; Bacillota; Bacilli; Caryophanales; Bacillaceae.